RNAcentral lists this ribosomal RNA (441 nucleotides) under uncultured bacterium. RNAcentral describes it as "partial 16S ribosomal RNA". It matches the Rfam family "Bacterial small subunit ribosomal RNA", at positions 338 to 795 of the family's 1533-position model. The record is from RNAcentral.
CCUACGGGUGGCAGCAGUGGGGGAUAUUGCACAAUGGGGGGAACCCUGAUGCAGCGACGCCGCGUGGGUGAAGGAGCGUUUCGGCGCGUAAAGCCCUAUCGGCAGGGAAGAAGGAGGACGGUACCUGACUAAGAAGCCCCGGCUAACUACGUGCCAGCAGCCGCGGUAAUACGUAGGGGGCAAGCGUUAUCCGGAGUUACUGGGUGGAAAGGGGGCGCAGACGGCAGCGCAAGCCAGGAGUGAAAGCCCGGGGCCCAACCCCGGGACUGCUCUUGGAACUGCGCGGCUGGAGUGCAGGAGGGGCAGGCGGAAUUCCUGGUGUAGCGGUGAAGUGCGUAGAUAUCAGGAGGAACACCGGUGGCGAAGGCGGCCUGCUGGACUGCGACUGACGUUGAGGCCCGAAAGCGUGGGGAGCGAACAGGAUUAGAUACCCCUGUAGUC